Molecule: long non-coding RNA, 1273 nt
Filed under: Pan troglodytes (chimpanzee)
Lineage: Eukaryota; Metazoa; Chordata; Mammalia; Primates; Hominidae
Description: lncRNA (ENSPTRG00000053319.1)
Source: RNAcentral
CAACCUCACCAAGAUGGAAACAUUGUAGCUGAAUAAUUAUUUGUUUAAGAGGUGUCCUGUGCAUUGUAGGAUUUUUACCAACAGCCCUGAACUUUACCCACUAGAUUCCAGGAGCAACCCCCAACUCCUAGGUUGGGACAACCCAAAUUGUCUCUGGGUAUUACCAAAUUUCUCCUGUGGGGCAAAAUCCACCCCCUGCCCCCUACCAUUCAGUCAUCUCCAUUGCAGGGCCAGCCACAGCUCUUACAGGACAGCUGUAAGAACAAGAGUUCUGGGAGGCUUUCAAUUACAGCCAUCUCCAAGUGGAACUCUCCAGGCUAAGAGGAUGAUGACCACCAGCAGCAAUUUCAAUUUCACCAGCACGUCAGGCAGAAGACAGCAAAUUGAAAAAGAUCCUCAAAAUUCUGGCGUAUUUCUAGUGCUGUCCAUGUACGUGACCUUGGAGGUGAUGAGAGAUUGUUGUCAGCUGCAUCGCGUCACAUCCAGUCAAUGAACCCGCAGCUUAACGAGCUAAUCUAGGUUCUGAUGGAAAAGAGACAGGCAGCCCCUGACAUCAGGGAGCCACAUGGCACACCCAGCCUGGUCUUGGCGUUCUCCUGCUGAGCACAAAUGACGUCACAGAACAUCAGCAUCCGCAUCAGACUGUGCCCACCACAGAGUAAGACCAAAACCACCCAUGGCGCAUCUGAACACAGAUCAACCGAAGAACCAAGCCACAGAAUGACAAUCACCCACCAUCCUGGCUGACAGGAGUGCAUCCCCACCAGACUGUGCCGGGUGGUGGAGGGAAGAUCGCGCCUGAGGGGUGGCAGAUCUGCUGUCCCCCAGGGGAAGGUUGUCCUUAUCCCCUCGCUGGGUAUUCUGCCAACUUCUAGAGUGGACGAGCUCAUGUUCUGUUCCCUCUCUGCUAGUCAGGGCCUGGUUUUGUCCAUGUGCCUCCUCCAGGUUCAGAAGAGCAACUGAGUCCCCUGAGCCUCUGUCCUGUCCUCCUUCAGCUGAUGCCGGUAGAAUCCAGUUCAGCCCCCCAGGGUGUGGCCUCAGCCACUGGUCCUGGCCACCUGGGAGCUGCCAGAGACUCAACCAUUCAAACCCAAAGCACUCUCUCUGACCAUGCUGCUGACCCUCUGAAAUAUGUUGGGCCACCUUAUGUCUGUCUAGCAUAGCCCCCUUUCAGUCAGAUCCGGGAAGGGGAAAUGAGAACCACAGUUUCCCAUAAACUUCUCCCAUGGGUGAGGAGGGGGGCCCACCUACUCUCCUUACAUUAAAGUCCAUG